AUUGAACGCUGGCGGCAUGCCUUACACAUGCAAGUCGAACGGCAGCAUGGAGAGCUUGCUCUCUGAUGGCGAGUGGCGAACGGGUGAGUAAUGCAUCGGAACGUACCGGGUAAUGGGGGGUAACGUAGCGAAAGUUACGCUACUACCGCAUACGACCUGAGGGUGAAAGCAGGGGAUCGCAAGACCUUGCGUUAUACGAGCGGCCGAUGUCAGAUUAGCUAGUUGGUGAGGUAAAGGCUCACCAAGGCGACGAUCUGUAGCGGGUCUGAGAGGAUGAUCCGCCACACUGGGACUGAGACACGGCCCAGACUCCUACGGGAGGCAGCAGUGGGGAAUUUUGUACAAUGGGGGCAACCCUGAUCCAGCCAUGCCGCGUGAGUGAAGAAGGCCUUCGGGUUGUAAAGCUCUUUCGGCCGGGAAGAAAUCGCACAGGCUAAUACUCUGUGUGGAUGACGGUACCGGCAUAAGAAGCACCGGCUAACUACAUGCCAGCAGCCGCCGUAA
RNAcentral lists this ribosomal RNA (504 nucleotides) under uncultured bacterium. Its description in RNAcentral is "partial 16S ribosomal RNA". It matches the Rfam family "Bacterial small subunit ribosomal RNA", at positions 30 to 523 of the family's 1533-position model. The record is from RNAcentral.